This 245-nucleotide long non-coding RNA is filed under the name Homo sapiens (human). Its description in RNAcentral is "non-protein coding lnc-XAGE1A-4:2". Lineage: Eukaryota; Metazoa; Chordata; Mammalia; Primates; Hominidae. The record is from RNAcentral.
GCCUUCAAUGAUACUGCCAAAUACUUCUCUGAGAAAGAAUGGGAAAAGAUGAAAGCCUCAGAGAAAAUCAUCCAUGUGUAUAUGAAGAGAAAGUAUGAGGCCAUGACUAAACAGGGUUUCACGGCUACCAUCCCAACUUUCAUGGAUGACAAAGGGGCCGCAGACUGCCAGGGGAAUGAUUUUGAUAAUGACCAUAACUGCGGGAAUCAGGUUGAACGUCCUCAGAUGACUUUCAGCAGGCUCCA